AAGUCGAGCGGACAGAUGGGAGCUUGCUCCCUGAUGUUAGCGGCGGACGGGUGAGUAACACGUGGGUAACCUGCCUGUAAGACUGGGAUAACUCCGGGAAACCGGGGCUAAUACCGGAUGCUUGUUUGAACCGCAUGGUUCAAACAUAAAAGGUGGCUUCGGCUACCACUUACAGAUGGACCCGCGGCGCAUUAGCUAGUUGGUGAGGUAACGGCUCACCAAGGCAACGAUGCGUAGCCGACCUGAGAGGGUGAUCGGCCACACUGGGACUGAGACACGGCCCAAACUCCUACGGGAGGCAGCAGUAGGGAAUCUUCCGCAAUGGACGAAAGUCUGACGGAGCAACGCCGCGUGAGUGAUGAAGGUUUUCGGAUCGUAAAGCUCUGUUGUUAGGGAAGAACAAGUGCCGUUCAAAUAGGGCGGCACCUUGACGGUACCUAACCAGAAAGCCACGGCUAACUACGUGCCAGCAGCCGCGGUAAUACGUAGGUGGCAAGCGUUGUCCGGAAUUAUUGGGCGUAAAGGGCUCGCAGGCGGUUUCUUAAGUCUGAUGUGAAAGCCCCCGGCUCAACCGGGGAGGGUCAUUGGAAACUGGGGAACUUGAGUGCAGAAGAGGAGAGUGGAAUUCCACGUGUAGCGGUGAAAUGCGUAGAGAUGUGGAGGAACACCAGUGGCGAAGGCGACUCUCUGGUCUGUAACUGACGCUGAGGAGCGAAAGCGUGGGGAGCGAACAGGAUUAGAUACCCUGGUAGUCCACGCCGUAAACGAUGAGUGCUAAGUGUUAGGGGGUUUCCGCCCCUUAGUGCUGCAGCUAACGCAUUAAGCACUCCGCCUGGGGAGUACGGUCGCAAGACUGAAACUCAAAGGAAUUGACGGGGGCCCGCACAAGCGGUGGAGCAUGUGGUUUAAUUCGAAGCAACGCGAAGAACCUUACCAGGUCUUGACAUCCUCUGACAAUCCUAGAGAUAGGACGUCCCCUUCGGGGGCAGAGUGACAGGUGGUGCAUGGUUGUCGUCAGCUCGUGUCGUGAGAUGUUGGGUUAAGUCCCGCAACGAGCGCAACCCUUGAUCUUAGUUGCCAGCAUUCAGUUGGGCACUCUAAGGUGACUGCCGGUGACAAACCGGAGGAAGGUGGGGAUGACGUCAAAUCAUCAUGCCCCUUAUGACCUGGGCUACACACGUGCUACAAUGGACAGAACAAAGGGCAGCGAAACCGCGAGGUUAAGCCAAUCCCACAAAUCUGUUCUCAGUUCGGAUCGCAGUCUGCAACUCGACUGCGUGAAGCUGGAAUCGCUAGUAAUCGCGGAUCAGCAUGCCGCGGUGAAUACGUUCCCGGGCCUUGUACACACCGCCCGUCACACCACGAGAGUUUGUAACACCCGAAGUCGGUGAGGUAACCUUUUAGGAGCCAGCCGCCGAA
RNAcentral lists this ribosomal RNA (1419 nucleotides) under Bacillus amyloliquefaciens. RNAcentral describes it as "bacterial SSU rRNA". It matches the Rfam family "Bacterial small subunit ribosomal RNA". Lineage: Bacteria; Bacillati; Bacillota; Bacilli; Caryophanales; Bacillaceae. The record is from RNAcentral.